AGUUAACAAUACAAAUAUGGUAGCAUUUUUCAGCCUGUUACUUACUGAAUGCGAGUCAUUGGCAUUUUUUCAGUCGGUUAACAAACAGUUUCUCAGUUAGUUAACAAAUAGCAACACUUCAGAAGCUUUUUUGAGAUAAGCUACAGAGAUAAGCAGCAGUUUUUCAAUCAGUUAACAAACAGCAGCACAACAGUUUUUCAGUCACCUGAUCGCUAUCCAAUUUUUCCUCGCUUGUUGCAGGUCACCAUUGUAUUCGACCUGGGAAGCUACAUACAGAUUUUCAUCUAUGAUAUUUCAGCAUCUUCUAUGCUUCCAAUCUGUUAAUUUAAUUUUACUUAUAAACGGCACAACCUUCCCUUCUCCUUUUUCGUGUGUAGAAUUGAUGAUUGAUGUAGUUUCACUGAAUCAAAAUACUGAUGCCUUUUCCCUUCUCCUUGACAGCUUUGCGAGAGCUAGGAAAGUAAUGGUGGACUCUCAUGAAGAAGAGAGACAGAUAAUGUUUGAGGUGAAUUCCUUCACCUGCCCUGCUUAUGGGAAAUUCUGCAAUGAUGCCUAGCGGUACACCACUCUCAAGUCUGAGAUGAAUUCCUUCAACAGAGGUUCUCCUUCGUGAGCUACGUCAGCGCUCAGAAGGCAUACAUUGAAGCCCUUGACGGCUGGUUGUCCAAGUUUAUCCUAACAGACACCAUUUGUUACUCCCGGGGGAUAUCCUUGAUUGCGCCCGACAGGGCCGGCACACCGCCCCUGGUGGUGAUCACGAGUGGCACACCAUGCUGUCGACGACUGGAUCGAUCCUCCGCACUAGUGAGUCUGGCAUAGGACUUGGCGAUGGGGAGAGGUUGUUCAGCGCUACGGAGAGCUGGUGCCAAAAACUAACUGUUGAUGUGGAAUUAGAUUUAUUAAAUAAUUAUCAGUUUGACUUAUUCGCUUGUAUUCAAACUGUACUGCAUUUUUGUUUGAGUACUGUUUUUUUCAUGUUCAUGAUAGUUCUAAUAUACUGUGCUUCUCAUAAUUUGGGUGGGACUUUUUAUAGAGGUAAUCUUUGGUAUUAUUGAGUGGUUUUCAACUAAUUUGUGAAAGCAAUUGGUUUCGUUUUCCUUAAUCAGAUGUAGAAUUUGCAAAGCGAUGCAUAUAUUCUGAAAUGUAUCUAUCUAGCUGGUCUUAGUUUUAGUUAGAUAAAUUUAUGUUCAUUGAUCCUGAGUAUAAUGGCUUCGUUCUUUUGUCCUGCUGUAAGCAAUUCUUUAUUGCGUGGAGUUUGUCAGUAUGAUUACUUGAUGAAUUUGGUUAUUUUUCAACAGAUAGCUGAAGAAGAUUAGGUGAUUUGGCAAUUCAAUUGCUGAAAAUGUUGCAUGCAAUGGAGAGUCAUAUAAGUGUGCUUGCAGUGUCUACUAUUGAUUCUAUGCAUCGUUCAGUUCAAAAGAGUAUAGGACAUAUGCAAGCGCUUCUGACUGCUAAAGUUUCUAAUUCAGAAUAAGGAGCAAGGCACUCGGUUGUAGUUCAGAUCAUAGGCUUGCUAUGACUCUCUUUUGCGAUUCAAAAUUUUAGUCCAGGAAUCUUGGCUUCUUGUCGGGUCUCUGCAGUAAAGUCUCAUUCAUCAUCAUCAACAGAUGAUUUCAUUUUGUGUAUGCUUGAGUUUAGAAAUUUUUGUCUCACUGUCCAUCGUCGACGUACCGUCCAUGAGAGUUGUUCAUAUAAGUCUACUGAUAAUAUCUCCGAUUUAUUUCAAUAAUGUACAUUUCCAGCAAUGCAUUUCUGUUGGUCCUAUAACUA
Non-coding RNA from Triticum urartu, 1770 nucleotides. NCBI's taxonomy places the organism in Eukaryota, Viridiplantae, Streptophyta, Magnoliopsida, Poales, Poaceae. The record is from RefSeq and is a predicted model, not a curated record.